GACGAACGCUGGCGGCGUGCUUAACACAUGCAAGUCGAACGGAAAGGCCCUGCUUUUGUGGGGUGCUCGAGUGGCGAACGGGUGAGUAACACGUGAGUAACCUGCCCUUGACUUUGGGAUAACUUCAGGAAACUGGGGCUAAUACCGGAUAGGAGCUCCUGCUGCAUGGUGGGGGUUGGAAAGUUUCGGCGGUUGGGGAUGGACUCGCGGCUUAUCAGCUUGUUGGUGGGGUAGUGGCUUACCAAGGCUUUGACGGGUAGCCGGCCUGAGAGGGUGACCGGCCACAUUGGGACUGAGAUACGGCCCAGACUCCUACGGGAGGCAGCAGGGGGGAAUAUUGCACAAUGGGCGGAAGCCUGAUGCAGCAACGCCGCGUGCGGGAUGACGGCCUUCGGGUUGUAAACCGCUUUCGCCUGUGACGAAGCGUGAGUGACGGUAAUGGGUAAAGAAGCAACGGCUAACUACGUG
Molecule: ribosomal RNA, 468 nt
Filed under: uncultured bacterium
Lineage: Bacteria
Description: partial 16S ribosomal RNA
Rfam family: Bacterial small subunit ribosomal RNA
Source: RNAcentral